This 464-nucleotide ribosomal RNA is filed under the name uncultured bacterium. RNAcentral's name for it is "partial 16S ribosomal RNA". It matches the Rfam family "Bacterial small subunit ribosomal RNA", at positions 29 to 507 of the family's 1533-position model. The record is from RNAcentral.
ACGAACGCUGGCGGCGUGCUUAACACCUGCAAGUCGUACGGUAAGGCCCUUUCGGGGGUACACGAGUGGCGAACGGGUGAGUAACACGUGAGUAACCUGCCCACAACUUUGGGAUAACGCUAGGAAACUGGUGCUAAUACUGGAUAUGUGCUCCUGCUGCAUGGUGGGGGUUGGAAAGCUCCGGCGGUUGUGGAUGGACUCGCGGCCUAUCAGCUUGUUGGUGGGGUAGUGGCCUACCAAGGCGGCGACGGGUAGCCGGCCUGAGAGGGUGACCGGCCACAUUGGGACUGGGAUACGGCCCAGACUCCUACGGGAGGGAGCAGUGGGGAAUAUUGCACAAUGGGCGCGAGCCUGAUGCAGCAACGCCGCGUGCGGGAUGACGGCCUUCGGGUUGUAAACCGCUUUCAGCAGGGACGAAGCUUUUUGUGACGGUACCUGCAGAAGAAGCACCGGCUAACUACGUG